This 219-nucleotide long non-coding RNA is filed under the name Chinchilla lanigera (long-tailed chinchilla). Its description in RNAcentral is "lncRNA (ENSCLAG00000022659.1)". Lineage: Eukaryota; Metazoa; Chordata; Mammalia; Rodentia; Chinchillidae. The record is from RNAcentral.
CUGAAAAAUCAUACAUCUGAGACACAUCCAACAGAUCAACAAACAUACAUGGGAAAAUGUGCUCUGAAAUAUGUUUGUAUCCAGCUGAUGGCUCUUUUGUGUCAAUUACCUGCUAACUCUGAUCUGCCUCAGCUCAUUAUUAUAUGUGAGCUGCAUUAUCGUGUCUUAGAAUGAUGACUGGGAAAUGUAUACACAUUUGUAAGUACUUCCAUACUUAUU